RNAcentral lists this long non-coding RNA (290 nucleotides) under Panax ginseng (ginseng). Its description in RNAcentral is "long non-coding RNA (PGIN_LNC016289)". The record is from RNAcentral. Lineage: Eukaryota; Viridiplantae; Streptophyta; Magnoliopsida; Apiales; Araliaceae.
UACCCAUCAGAAUGGUCGUAAGGGUCCCCCAGCCCGUCAUAAGUCUCCAUCGGGGGCAUCUUCUUUUUGGGGUCCGCUAUCUCCUGAUUAAUAUUCGGAGAGAAGGGUGACCCUAUAUAGGUCGAUGGUGCUCCGAUCGGGCCCCUGACCAACAAUAGCUUCUCCAAUUCGGCAACUCUUCGAGCGAGGGGGUCGGAUUCUCUUUCGUGAGGGGACGAAUGGGGUCUGUCCUUCUCACGUUCGGGAAUCUCGUCUUUCCUCCUCUGCCCAGACCGACCCGGGUGCGCGGA